UUCAAAGUAGUUAAAAAAGAAUAACAUCAAGAUGUAAACUUGAAAUUAGAAGUUCUCUUUGAAA
Molecule: transfer RNA, 64 nt
Filed under: Laemobothrion sp.
Lineage: Eukaryota; Metazoa; Arthropoda; Insecta; Psocodea; Laemobothriidae
Description: tRNA-Tyr
Source: RNAcentral